Molecule: long non-coding RNA, 717 nt
Organism: Salvelinus namaycush (lake trout)
Lineage: Eukaryota; Metazoa; Chordata; Actinopteri; Salmoniformes; Salmonidae
Exons: 9
Source: RefSeq, a predicted model, not a curated record
GCUCUCUUCAGUUCAAGCUAAAUGCAAAGGUGGACAAACGCCAUACGAUGAACCCUGCCCAACCCAAUAUGGCUGCAUUGCUACUGCAGAAUAGCCCAAUGGUAUCUUCUGAGCAGUCCCCCGACGGUGGAUUAACAAAUGGAUAUGCAGAAGGAUUAGUCAAUCUGAAGACCCUAUAGAAUGGGAUUAGAAUGAACCAGUGGACGUUCUAAUUGGAGGCUUAUAACCUCAGAUGCCUUGAGAAUUAACCACUUAAUAUUCUGGAGGUCUCGUACCAACUGAAAUGGCAGAGGUGACGACCCAAUCGCCUAGAGAUUGAACAGCUGGUAUGGAGGUAAAAGUGUGCCUCAACACUUGAGAUGAUGGCCCAAUCCAGGUCCCUUGAUGGGAAUGUCCAUCUGUAGGUCUUGCAACUGCCUCUGGGUGGAAUGACUGGCAUUGACCAAUUACACUUCAGCGUUGAUAUACCGUAAACAGGGUUUUAAGGUCUUGUGAAAAGAAUGUCCUACACAAGGGCUUUCUCUUGCCAGCAUAACAUCAGCUGUUAUGCUCUAGUGGGAAUUCCACUAACGGUAUGUAGCUGCUGCUCACAUCCUUCACUAUGACUAAAUAAUUUGUGCUAUAAGAGCUCAAGUAUUGAUGGAAAAAUAUUUGCUCUUCACUGCAAAAAAAUCUUGUCAUGUGCAUCCUUUCAGUAAAAUAAAAUUAAUUAACCCU